AGUGAACGCUGGCGGUAGGCCUAACACAUGCAAGUCGAACGGCAGCACAGUAAGAGCUUGCUCUUACGGGUGGCGAGUGGCGGACGGGUGAGGAAUACAUCGGAAUCUACUUUUUCGUGGGGGAUAACGUAGGGAAACUUACGCUAAUACCGCAUACGACCUACGGGUGAAAGCAGGGGAUCUUCGGACCUUGCGCGAUUGAAUGAGCCGAUGUCGGAUUAGCUAGUUGGCGGGGUAAAGGCCCACCAAGGCGACGAUCCGUAGCUGGUCUGAGAGGAUGAUCGGCGACACUGGAACUGAGACACGGUCCAGACUCCUAAGGGAGGCAGCAGUGGGGAAUAUUGGACAAUGGGCGCAAGCCUGAUCCAGCCAUACCGCGUGGGUGAAGAAGGCCUUCGGGUUGUAAAGCCCUUUUGUUGGGAAAGAAAAGCAGCAGGUUAAUACCCCGCUGUUCUGACGGUACCCAAAGAAUAAGCACCGGCUAACUUCGUG
RNAcentral lists this ribosomal RNA (492 nucleotides) under uncultured bacterium. Its description in RNAcentral is "partial 16S ribosomal RNA". It matches the Rfam family "Bacterial small subunit ribosomal RNA", at positions 29 to 507 of the family's 1533-position model. The record is from RNAcentral.